This 745-nucleotide ribosomal RNA is filed under the name uncultured bacterium. RNAcentral's name for it is "bacterial SSU rRNA". It matches the Rfam family "Bacterial small subunit ribosomal RNA", at positions 33 to 773 of the family's 1533-position model. The record is from RNAcentral.
ACGCUGGCGGCAGGCCUAACACAUGCAAGUCGAGCGGUAGAGAGAAGCUUGCUUCUCUUGAGAGCGGCGGACGGGUGAGUAAUGCCUAGGAAUCUGCCUGGUAGUGGGGGAUAACGUUCGGAAACGGACGCUAAUACCGCAUACGUCCUACGGGAGAAAGCAGGGGACCUUCGGGCCUUGCGCUAUCAGAUGAGCCUAGGUCGGAUUAGCUAGUUGGUGGGGUAAUGGCUCACCAAGGCGACGAUCCGUAACUGGUCUGAGAGGAUGAUCAGUCACACUGGAACUGAGACACGGUCCAGACUCCUACGGGAGGCAGCAGUGGGGAAUAUUGGACAAUGGGCGAAAGCCUGAUCCAGCCAUGCCGCGUGUGUGAAGAAGGUCUUCGGAUUGUAAAGCACUUUAAGUUGGGAGGAAGGGCAGUUGCCUAAUACGUAACUGUUUUGACGUUACCGACAGAAUAAGCACCGGCUAACUCUGUGCCAGCAGCCGCGGUAAUACAGAGGGUGUAAGCGUUAAUCGGAAUUACUGGGCGUAAAGCGCGCGUAGGUGGUUUGUUAAGUUGGAUGUGAAAUCCCCGGGCUCAACCUGGGAACUGCAUUCAAAACUGACUGACUAGAGUAUGGUAGAGGGUGGUGGAAUUUCCUGUGUAGCGGUGAAAUGCGUAGAUAUAGGAAGGAACACCAGUGGCGAAGGCGACCACCUGGACUGAUACUGACACUGAGGUGCGAAAGCGUGGGGAGCAAAC